This 279-nucleotide ribosomal RNA is filed under the name uncultured bacterium. RNAcentral's name for it is "partial 16S ribosomal RNA". It matches the Rfam family "Bacterial small subunit ribosomal RNA", at positions 506 to 784 of the family's 1533-position model. The record is from RNAcentral.
UGCCAGCAGCCGCGGUAAUACGAGGGGUGCAAGCGUUAAUCGGAAUUACUGGGCGUAAAGCGUACGCAGGCGGUUUGUUAAGCGAGAUGUGAAAGCCCCGGGCUUAACCUGGGAACUGCAUUUCGAACUGGUCAACUAGAGUCUUGUAGAGGGGGGUAGAAUUUCAGGUGUAGCGGUGAAAUGCGUAGAGAUCUGAAGGAAUACCAGUGGCGAAGGCGGCCCCCUGGACAAAGACUGACGCUCAGAUGCGAAAGCGUGGGGAGCAAACAGGAUUAGAUA